This 163-nucleotide ribosomal RNA is filed under the name uncultured bacterium. RNAcentral describes it as "partial 16S rRNA". It matches the Rfam family "Bacterial small subunit ribosomal RNA", at positions 355 to 511 of the family's 1533-position model. The record is from RNAcentral.
UAGGGGAUCUUCCACAAUGGACGAAAGUCUGAUGGAGCAACGCCGCGUGAGUGAAGAAGGGUUUCGGCUCGUAAACUCUGUUGUUAAAGAAGAACAUAUCUGAGAGUAACUGUUCAGGUAUUGACGGUACUUAACCAGAAAGCCACGGCUAACUACGUGCCGG